UCGUAAAAAUGAGGGACGAUAAUGAGUUCGUCUUGUCAUAUCAAAGAACAGAAGGUAUAAAGAUGAUGGCGAGAUAUCGUUUCAGUCGUCAUUUCUCCUGAUUGACGAUUCGAUUGUUGCUCGUCCACAC
This 130-nucleotide small nucleolar RNA is filed under the name Olea europaea subsp. europaea. RNAcentral describes it as "Small nucleolar RNA snoR111". It matches the Rfam family "Small nucleolar RNA snoR111". Lineage: Eukaryota; Viridiplantae; Streptophyta; Magnoliopsida; Lamiales; Oleaceae. The record is from Rfam by way of RNAcentral.